UCNUCUGGCUUAACUGGGGGCUUGCGGUGGNUACGGGCCGGCUUGAGUGCGNUAGGGGAGACUGGAACUCCUGGUGUAGCGGUGGAAUGCGCAGAUAUCAGGAAGAACACCGGUGGCGAAGGCGGGUCUCUGGGCCGUUACUGACGCUGAGGAGCGAAAGCGUGGGGAGCGAACAGGAUUAGAUACCCUGGUAGUCCACGCCGUAAACGUUGGGCACUAGGUGUGGGGGGCCUUUUCCGGGUCUUCCGCGCCGUAGCUAACGCAUUAAGUGCCCCGCCUGGGGAGUACGGCCGCAAGGCUAAAACUCAAAGGAAUUGACGGGGGCCCGCACAAGCGGCGGAGCAUGCGGAUUAAUUCGAUGCAACGCGAAGAACCUUACCAAGGCUUGACAUGUGCCGGUCGGCUCCGGAGACGGGGCUUCCUCCUUGUGGGGCCGGUUCACAGGUGGUGCAUGGUUGUCGUCAGCUCGUGUCGUGAGAUGUUGGGUUAAGUCCCGCAACGAGCGCAACCCUUGUCCCGUGUUGCCAGCACGUUGUGGUGGGGACUCGCGGGAGACUGCCGGGGUCAACUCGGAGGAAGGUGGGGAUGACGUCAAAUCAUCAUGCCCCUUAUGUCUUGGGCUUCACGCAUGCUACAAUGGCCGGUACAGAGGGCUGCGAUACCGUGAGGUGGAGCGAAUCCCUUAAAGCCGGUCUCAGUUCGGAUCGGUGUCUGCAACUCGACACCGUGAAGUUGGAGUCGCUAGUAAUCGCAGAUCAGCAACGCUGCGGUGAAUACGUUCUCGGGCCUUGUACACACCGCCCGUCACGUCAUGAAAGUCGGC
Molecule: ribosomal RNA, 823 nt
Filed under: uncultured bacterium
Lineage: Bacteria
Description: bacterial SSU rRNA
Rfam family: Bacterial small subunit ribosomal RNA
Source: RNAcentral